This 468-nucleotide ribosomal RNA is filed under the name uncultured bacterium. Its description in RNAcentral is "partial 16S ribosomal RNA". It matches the Rfam family "Bacterial small subunit ribosomal RNA", at positions 28 to 507 of the family's 1533-position model. The record is from RNAcentral.
GACGAACGCUGGCGGCGUGCUUAACACAUGCAAGUCGAACGGAAAGGCCCUGCUUUUGUGGGGUGCUCGAGUGGCGAACGGGUGAGUAACACGUGAGUAACCUGCCCUUGACUUUGGGAUAACUUCAGGAAACUGGGGCUAAUACCGGAUAGGAGCUCCUGCUGCAUGGUGGGGGUUGGAAAGUUUCGGCGGUUGGGGAUGGACUCGCGGCUUAUCAGCUUGUUGGUGGGGUAGUGGCUUACCAAGGCUGUGACGGGUAGCCGGCCUGAGAGGGUGACCGGCCACAUGGGGACUGAGGGACGGCCCAGACUCGUACGGGAGGCAGCAGUGGGGAAUAUGGCACAAUGGGCGGAAGCCUGAUGCAGCAACGCCGCGGGCGGGAUGACGGCCUUCGGGUUGUAAACCGCUUUCGCCUGUGACGAAGCGUGAGUGACGGUAAUGGGUAAAGAAGCACCGGCUAACUACGUG